This 1591-nucleotide long non-coding RNA is filed under the name Marmota monax (woodchuck). Lineage: Eukaryota; Metazoa; Chordata; Mammalia; Rodentia; Sciuridae. The record is from RNAcentral.
UCCUAGGACUGUUUCUGGGUGCAGACCCAGCGUAGGUACCCAGCAGGGACUCAGUGAGCCGAGUGCCUCCACGUGGGUGCUCGGCUGGAGGUGGGGCGUCUGCUGCCGUCACCAGUGGAGGAACCACGCUUGGCACUCGUCCCAGCAGGUGGACAGAUAUGGGAGGCCGACUAGCGCGUGACCGUGUCUGUCUCCCCUUCUGAUCAGUGUGGCGUCAUCACUCUGUGAUCUGGUUGCCCAGGUAACCCGGACAGUAGCCCCGAUCUUCCUACAUCCCCACGGAGGAGCUAAGCUCACCUGUUCCUCUGUGGCAUUACCCCUAGCCCUGUUGGGGAUAGAGUGUUCCCUGGAAACACCUUUGUGUGUCCCCUUCUCUCGCUCUGCCCUUGGGUGUGGCCUUCCUAGAUGUCAGUCCACCUGCCGACAGCAGACAUCAUGAGGCUAGACUCAGCCCCUGAAACCUGACCCCUGGCCUCAUUUGAAUGGCUUCUCCUGGGUAGAAGGGGUCAGCACGUCCAGGCUCGCGCUCGCUCUCUUUCUGUGGACCCUUAAGGUCAGAGGAGCCGUCACAGCUACCCCCAAAGAAAAAGGCAUUUCUGUCUCUUGUGUGGUCAUUUCACGCAGCCCAGUUAGCCCAGUUCCCCUGGAGUGACCCCUGAGUGUCUUAGUCGCGAGCAACCUGGCAAUUGGCGUCCCUUGGUGGGCGAGAGGUCUGCGUGUUUAAGUCACCGGGAACCCAACAGAGAGAAUCCAGAGAAGGCCGGGCCGUCUGCUCCUGGAGAGCUGGAGGUGAGACGCACAGAAGCCUGUGCCCACUCCCCAGGGCAGCCUGGCCUGCUUCGGGGUUCAACUGGUUGGACAGAGACAGCGGCUCCAGGGUUGAACUGUGGGGCCCGCCCAGGCUGGCUCGGCAAGGGUUCCUGGUGCUCCACCCUGCCUGUCUGAGAACCAGACACUGAACAAAGGCUUUUUGAAGAGGCUGAGGUAUGACUGUGGGCUCAGGUCCUGAACCCCGCUGCCCACAUUUGAAUUCUGACACUGCCCUUUAAAGGCUGUGUGGUCUUGAGCAGGUGACCGAGCCUCUCUGCGCCUCAGCUCCCUCACUGGAGAAGUGGGGUGAGCUAUCGUCUUGCUGCCUUGCUGGGAGGGGGAUUUCCCAGACUCAUCUGCGGGAGCUCUGAGCUCAGGUGCUGGAGGUGCCUCUUGUCCACUGGCCAAGGCUCUCUGUUUCCUGUGUCCAGGGCUCGCAGUGUGCCCAGGGAACACAAGGCCACACGAGCUGCUCCCCUCGGGCACCAGACCUCGCCCUGCUCAUGGGCCUGAGUCCUCCCCUGGGCCAGGACAGGUGGGCCAGCCCCUGCUGUUGGCUGUGUGGAGGACACACACUGUUGGAAAGGUCACAGCCUGGGCUUCUCGGAAAGUGGCCUGGCUUGUGGCCCCCAGGGGACACUGCUCCUGACAGGGGGUGCUGUCCUUUGUGCCCCACCAGGCACCAGACAGGUCGGACCAGUUGGGAACCUGCAGGGAGCGGCCGUCCCAUGAGGAGGGGGAGGCAGACAGGCCUGUCCUCCGUACAGCCUUGUGACACAGG